UAUAUUCAAAAAUAUCCUGUGAAAUCGGCGAGGUCGUAUUUUAAAUAGUUUUUGAAUGGCAGCGUUCUAAAUAGCGACCGCUCAGAGCUACUCAAUCGACCGGAAUCAUGCCAGCAGUUGAGGCACUUUUUUUUUGGCACUUCCGCAGACAGCACAUUAGCAGCUCCGUUAUUUUUCAAUAUUUUUGUAAAUUUUUUUUUUUUUAAUAUAGCUAAAAAUAUACUUUAUUACGUCCAUAGAACGUCGAAACAA
This is a long non-coding RNA of Bactrocera neohumeralis, 252 nucleotides long. RefSeq lists it as uncharacterized. NCBI's taxonomy places the organism in Eukaryota, Metazoa, Arthropoda, Insecta, Diptera, Tephritidae. The record is from RefSeq and is a predicted model, not a curated record. The transcript is spliced from 2 exons.